GGCGGCAGGCCUAACACAUGCAAGUCGAGCGGAUGAGAAGAGCUUGCUCUUCGAUUCAGCGGCGGACGGGUGAGUAAUGCCUAGGAAUCUGCCUGGUAGUGGGGGACAACGUUUCGAAAGGAACGCUAAUACCGCAUACGUCCUACGGGAGAAAGCAGGGGACCUUCGGGCCUUGCGCUAUCAGAUGAGCCUAGGUCGGAUUAGCUAGUUGGUGAGGUAAUGGCUCACCAAGGCGACGAUCCGUAACUGGUCUGAGAGGAUGAUCAGUCACACUGGAACUGAGACACGGUCCAGACUCCUACGGGAGGCAGCAGUGGGGAAUAUUGGACAAUGGGCGAAAGCCUGAUCCAGCCAUGCCGCGUGUGUGAAGAAGGUCUUCGGAUUGUAAAGCACUUUAAGUUGGGAGGAAGGGCAUUAACCUAAUACGUUAGUGUUUUGACGUUACCGACAGAAUAAGCACCGGCUAACUCUGUGCCAGCAGCCGCGGUAAUACAGAGGGUGCAAGCGUUAAUCGGAAUUACUGGGCGUAAAGCGCGCGUAGGUGGUUUGUUAAGUUGGAUGUGAAAGCCCCCGGGCUCAACCUGGGAACUGCAUCCAAAACUGGCAAGCUA
This 611-nucleotide ribosomal RNA is filed under the name uncultured yard-trimming-compost bacterium. RNAcentral's name for it is "bacterial SSU rRNA". It matches the Rfam family "Bacterial small subunit ribosomal RNA", at positions 38 to 643 of the family's 1533-position model. The record is from RNAcentral.